AGCCUCGUAGCUAAGCUGGUAGAGCGUGCGCGUACCGGGCGUCGGGAGCGUCCAUGCGUGGGUUCGAAUCCGACCGUGGCUA
This 82-nucleotide transfer RNA is filed under the name Echinostoma caproni. It matches the Rfam family "tRNA". From Rfam's summary of the family: Transfer RNA (tRNA) molecules are approximately 80 nucleotides in length. Their secondary structure includes four short double-helical elements and three loops (D, anti-codon, and T loops). Lineage: Eukaryota; Metazoa; Platyhelminthes; Trematoda; Plagiorchiida; Echinostomatidae. The record is from Rfam by way of RNAcentral.